This 93-nucleotide microRNA precursor is filed under the name Ovis aries (sheep). Its description in RNAcentral is "miRNA (ENSOARG00000023036.1)". Lineage: Eukaryota; Metazoa; Chordata; Mammalia; Artiodactyla; Bovidae. The record is from RNAcentral.
AGGCUUUAGUGUAGUCAAAAGUUAAUUCAUGUUUUUCUGUAACAUCUUAUGGAAAAACCUGAAUGAACUUUUUGGCUAACCCAAUAUAAAAUA